RNAcentral lists this ribosomal RNA (492 nucleotides) under uncultured bacterium. RNAcentral describes it as "partial 16S ribosomal RNA". It matches the Rfam family "Bacterial small subunit ribosomal RNA", at positions 29 to 507 of the family's 1533-position model. The record is from RNAcentral.
AGUGAACGCUGGCGGUAGGCCUAACACAUGCAAGUCGAACGGCAGCACAGUAAGAGCUUGCUCGUACGGGUGGCGAGUGGCGGACGGGUGAGGAAUACAUCGGAAUCUACUUUUUCGUGGGGGAUAACGUAGGGAAACUUACGCUAAUACCGCAUACGACCUACGGGUGAAAGCAGGGGAUCUUCGGACCUUGCGCGAUUGAAUGAGCCGAUGUCGGAUUAGCUAGUUGGCGGGGUAAAGGCCCACCAAGGCGACGAUCCGUAGCUGGUCUGAGAGGAUGAUCAGCCACACUGGAACUGAGACACGGUCCAGACUCCUACGGGAGGCAGCAGUGGGGAAUAUUGGACAAUGGGCGCAAGCCUGAUCCAGCCAUACCGCGUGGGUGAAGAAGGCCUUCGGGUUGUAAAGCCCCUUUGUUGGGAAAGAAAAGCAGCAGGUUAAUACCCCGCUGUUCUGACGGUACCCAAAGAAUAAGCACCGGCUAACUUCGUG